RNAcentral lists this ribosomal RNA (441 nucleotides) under uncultured bacterium. RNAcentral's name for it is "partial 16S ribosomal RNA". It matches the Rfam family "Bacterial small subunit ribosomal RNA", at positions 338 to 795 of the family's 1533-position model. The record is from RNAcentral.
CCUACGGGUGGCAGCAGUCGAGAAUCAUUCACAAUGGGGGAAACCCUGAUGGUGCGACGCCGCGUGAAGGAAGAAGGCCUUCGGGUCGUAAACUUCUGUCCUUGGGGAAGAAGAACUGACGGUACCCAAGGAGGAAGCUCCGGCUAACUACGUGCCAGCAGCCGCGGUAAUACGUAGGGGGCAAGCGUUAUCCGGAAUUAUUGGGGGUAAAGAGUACGGAGGUGGCAACCUAGGCGCAGGGUAUAAGGCAAUGGCUCAACCAUUGUUCGCCCUGCGAACUGGGAUGCUUGAGGGCAGGAGAGGAAAGCGGAAUUCCUAGUGUAGCGGUGAAAUGCGUAGAUAUUAGGAGGAACACCAGUGGCGAAGGCGGCUUUCUGGACUGUAACUGACACUGAGGUACGAAAGCGUGGGGAGCAAACAGGAUUAGAUACCCUGGUAGUC